CUACGUGCCAGCAGCCGCGGUAAUACGGAAGGUCCAGGCGUUAUCCGGAUUUAUUGGGUUUAAAGGGAGCGUAGGCCGGAGAUUAAGUGUGUUGUGAAAUGUAGACGCUCAACGUCUGACUUGCAGCGCAUACUGGUUUCCUUGAGUACGCACACCGUUGGCGGAAUUCGUCGUGUAGCGGUGAAAUGCUUAGAUAUGACGAAGAACUCCGAUUGCGAAGGCAGCUGACGGGAGCGCAACUGACGCUUAAGCUCGAAGGUGCGGGUAUCAAACAGGAUUAGAUACCCUGGUAGUCCGCACAGUAAACGAUGGAUGCCCGCUGUUGGUACCUGGUAUCAGCGGCUAAGCGAAAGCAUUAAGCAUCCCACCUGGGGAGUACGCCGGCAACGGUGAAACUCAAAGGAAUUGACGGGGGCCCGCACAAGCGGAGGAACAUGUGGUUUAAUUCGAUGAUACGCGAGGAACCUUACCCGGGCUUGAAUUGCAGAGGAAGUAUUUAGAGAUA
RNAcentral lists this ribosomal RNA (505 nucleotides) under uncultured bacterium. RNAcentral describes it as "bacterial SSU rRNA". It matches the Rfam family "Bacterial small subunit ribosomal RNA", at positions 501 to 1008 of the family's 1533-position model. The record is from RNAcentral.